Long non-coding RNA from Juglans regia (Persian walnut), 699 nucleotides. RefSeq lists it as uncharacterized. The transcript has 4 exons. The record is from RefSeq and is a predicted model, not a curated record. Lineage: Eukaryota; Viridiplantae; Streptophyta; Magnoliopsida; Fagales; Juglandaceae.
CGCAAAAAUUUCCUCCCUCGCUCGCGUCGCUUCUUUGCUCUGCCCACCGCCACGUCGUUGCUCUGCCCACCGCCGCGUUGUUGCUCUGUCCACAGCCACCGGCGACGCCGCCUCUCUGAGCGACCCUCCCCCUGCCCAAACCAAGAUUGCACAAUUUGAAAAGGUGCAUCACUUUUUCAACUGUGGGGUAAGAUGGUGCUUUUAAUUUCUGGGACAAAGACAAUAAACAGAGACUCAAGUUGUGUCAAGAAGUGCUGCUGCAAGAUGGGUAGAGGAAAGAUUGAGAUCAAGAUGAUCGAGACCGUACACGACCAAUCGUCAAGUCACCUUCUGCAAGUGGAGAAAUGAACUCUUGAAGAAAGGUGGUUUUGAUGUGUUGUACAGUGGAGGAAAAGCUAGAUUGGUGCUAAAAGCAUGCACACUGGAGGAAACAAGAAAAUGAGACUACUUAGAUUAGAAUCUUGGAUUUUGGAAUAUUGGAUUUUGUAAUGAAUAUUAUGAGACUACUUAGGUCGUAAUAAGCUGCUUUGUAAUGUUGUAUUCAAUUGGAAUGAAUAUUAUGACUCAAUAUUUUACUAGAUGACUUAAUCUAAGGAUGAUUAUUUGAUGGCAGUGUAAAUGGUUUUGUGUUCAAUUGUGGAUGGAUUUUGUGUAUAUAAUAGUUGUGGAGACUGUGUCUUGUGAAGAUGUAUAGCUUGU